GAGUCGCAGAAUUCCAUAUGUGAAGGUUCAGUGGAGCAACCAUGCGGUGCGAGAAGCCGCUUGGGAGCUCGAGGAGACCAUGCGGAGAGAGUAUCCGCACCUAUUUGAAUCGACAAGUUAAGGUAUGCGUAAUUUCGCGGACGAAAUUAUUUUAAGGGGUGGAGAAUGUAAUAUACCGAGAAUUCGGAAAAUAAAUGUCGAACUUCAGUCAAAUUGACCAAAGUAGGA
Molecule: long non-coding RNA, 228 nt
Filed under: Ananas comosus (pineapple)
Lineage: Eukaryota; Viridiplantae; Streptophyta; Magnoliopsida; Poales; Bromeliaceae
Description: long non-coding RNA (ACOM_LNC040098)
Source: RNAcentral